UGUGGACAAGAAUGAAGGGGAGAAGAAAAAGUUCAAGUUCUUAAAGCUCAAGACGAAGCCGAAGAGUGGCUCUGUCCCCGUGAAGCCGGCUGAUGAGACUCAGCAGCUCAGUACUGCUGAUCCCAGUAAACCUGCUGAGGAUGGAGAGGCCUGGGCUGACAACCUUGCUGUAGAGAACAAGAGGUUUUCUUUCUACGGCACCUCACCCAGGUCAAAGGGCAAAGAACUGAGCUACUCAGAGUUGGACCUCCGUAAGCCUAAAAGGUUUGCCACCUUUUCCUUUGGUUUUAAAAAGAGGAAGAAGAAUGAUGAAGAGAAUGUCUCUAAGAGUACUUUCGGCCUUCACAGCACUGACAUUGAAGAGCAA
Molecule: long non-coding RNA, 367 nt
Organism: Centropristis striata (black sea bass)
Lineage: Eukaryota; Metazoa; Chordata; Actinopteri; Perciformes; Serranidae
Exons: 3
Source: RefSeq, a predicted model, not a curated record